AAUGCGCCUCUGCCACUCCUUGGCGCGGUUACCCGGGCCUGAGUCCGCGUGGUGGAGCAGCCCAUCCGCGUGGGGCGCUACCGGGCUGGUCGCCGCGGCCUCAAGUGGACAGCGGGAGGGACGCAUCCGGCCUGAGUACGGCUGGAGCUAGGGCCGACGACCCAGGAGCUGGACAGCGCCCUAGCCAGGGAAGGUGAUCUGGGUAGGAGGCUAGUUGUUGCUGGGAUUGUCAGGCAGGCGUGGCUAGUGACACCACUUAGCUGUUCAAAAAAAGAAAAGAAAAAAGAAAAAUCACAAAAACAAACUGGAGGGUGCUGAAGGCCAUCUUGUUACCUACGUGUUUUGAAAAUCAGAUCUUUGAGAAAGGUGGGCAGAUCCAGUGGCGGAUGACAAGGGUCUGGGAGUCUGUGUACAGAACAAAUUCGAUCCCUUAGCAGGCAUGGAUGGAGAAAAAGAUCUAACAGGUGGAGUUCCAAACCUGCUACGGUACUUUCUAAAUAGACUGAGGACCGGGGGAAGGCCAGCAAACAUACACCUCCCCAACCCCAACCCCCAUCCCGUACUGCCUCUCCUACUCCGCUCCACUUUUCUUAGGCAGCAGGUAACUCCCAAAGGGCUCCUCCCAGUUCUUCCAUCCUAGCGUGGCAACUCCAUGGCAGCCUGACACCUCCCAUUUCUUCUCAGCCUGCCCAAAUUCUCAUUUUUUUUUUCUUGCCCAGUGCGACCAGGGCCACCGGCCACAUCGCUCCAUCACUGUGAGGAAUUGUAUCAGGGCUUGUUUAAAACCCCUUAGGGCCUCCCAUUGCGUUAGAGGAAGCCCAGCUUCUUGUCACUGUCACACGGACUUGGACCUUUGUGCCUGCUGUAGUACUGCUUCUCCCGUAGUACGGAACUAUAAUACUCUUCAUGCCUGGGGUAUUCUUCUACUCCGGGGAUAGUCUCUGCCAGCCAAGGCUCUGCUCCUGGGUAUUUGGAGAGCUGCUGGGUAGAAAUGGACAGGGGUUUCUGAACACGCCUAUCCUAGGAGAGCCCUUCUGACUUUAUGAUUGCCCAGAGGCACUUGUGCCACCUGCUUCUGAGAAAGCACCUGAUUCUGUUGGGGCACACUCCACCUGCACUACUCCAUUCUUCUCAGCAUUGCUCAGAUCCCAAAGCCCUGAGUCCUCAUCCUGCUGCCAGCUAGCCAGUGAGAGAGUGUCAUGUUCACCCUUGCCCUGAUUCUCUCACCCUCAGGCCACAGGGUGGACUGGGUACAUCUAGCCUGCCUCACUCAGAUGUCCACCCUCUGGCAAAGCUUUCCUCUUCCUGGGAGGACAAGACCAGAGGAACCUCCAGUUCCUUCUUUAUCAAAAAGCACUAAGUUUGCAUCCAAGAAAUGGGCCUGGCAAUACAGCUCUUCCAUCAGUUUAAUGAAAUCACAUCUGUCUUCUGAGGCUAGAGGACACCCUGUACUCAACCAGAGAGGCCUAUGGAGAGGCAGACCGGUCGUUCCCAAGUCACUAUCAAGUGCACCAGCUCUACUAGUAAACAAUUUGAGACACUCUGCCUUUCUCAAAUGUUGUUCAGGUAUUUCAUAACUUACAGAAUAAUAGUGUGGAAACGGUGGAGCACUAGGCAUAUCCACCCUAAGUUGUAGUCUAGGCUCUGAGGAGGUCUCCAGGGCAGUGCUCCCUUCUUCUGGUCACCAAGACAUAGACACCCACAUAUCCGCUGAGCACCUGGGAAGCAUCUGGAAGAUUUAGGGAUGUUGUCAGUGAGGGCUGGUGAUCGAAAACAUGUGGAGCCCUGGAGGAGCAGGGAGCAGCUCUGCAGAGACUUGGGAAAAGAACACGCCAGGAAAAUGAGCAGAAAACUCAAAACCCAGAUAUAAAACAGGAAACAGAAGGCUGUGACUGGAGGCCACGAGGAGCUGGGUUUGCAAGCUCAGGGACUUUUGGGAAGGAAUAUCAUGGUUGUUGGGACAAAAAUGGAAGAGACCUCACUAGGCUUGUCAGCUUGAUGUGGAUGGGUGACCCAAAAGAUGUCUAGCAACAUCCAGAGGUUAGUAUCAGGGACAGUAGGCAGAGCCCAAAGUCUAGCCACUGAACAGAAAAGGUGAUGGGGACAGGGUUUGUGUUCCUCUAUGCUUUCCAUUCAUAAUCAGACUGAAACACACCAAGGAGCAGGUAAACAAGCAAGAUUGUGGAGAAAGAAAUCUAGACCCAUGCCUUGGAUUUUGGAUGUCAGGGCUUGCAAGAGGCCAUGUGUGCAGCAAACAUCACACACGAUCAAACCCGCAAUAGAACAGUGACUGGGACAAUCAGAGUGAGCCACAGAUCUGCACCUGCUCAGUUUCACGCUCCCUCUGCAGGCCCGGUCAGUGCUGUGCGGUGGCUCUGCUUUGUAUCCGUUACUUUCCUUGUCACCAUGACAGAAAACCUGAAAGAAGCAGCUUAAACGUUCCCGUUCUUGAGGCAGCAACCAGGAUCCUCCCAAGAUCCAGAGCUACCAGCAUCCGCCUGGGAGAUAAACACUGCCAGGAGAAUGGUUUGAUGUGACCAGAAGCUACAAGACCAGACCUGAGCAAAGAUGGUACUGCGCACAGCUGUCCUGAGCAUGCUGGCCCAUAGCUCCACUGGAGGGCUCUAGUGGGAAUAUAGUGGAAAUCUAUGCCACACCAUGAGAUGGCAAAAUUUGAGCCUCGUGGCAAAUCUGCAACACAGGAGCCACAAGCACCCAUGGAUCCUGGAGCUAAGACCUCACUUUCCCACCCAGAUUCUCCAUACUUUGUGAAAAGCCAUGCACCAUUAGUGCCACAGCUAAUGUAUCUCCUGGCCUCAAGGUUUCCCAGAUCCACAGCUGUGAUGAUGUUUUGUUUGUACUGUAAAAAAUAAAGCUUGCCUGAAGAUCAGA
Molecule: long non-coding RNA, 2892 nt
Organism: Myodes glareolus (Bank vole)
Lineage: Eukaryota; Metazoa; Chordata; Mammalia; Rodentia; Cricetidae
Source: RefSeq, a predicted model, not a curated record